Molecule: long non-coding RNA, 8178 nt
Filed under: Malus domestica (apple)
Lineage: Eukaryota; Viridiplantae; Streptophyta; Magnoliopsida; Rosales; Rosaceae
Description: long non-coding RNA (MDOM_LNC001345)
Source: RNAcentral
ACAAAACUGCCCACUCACCUGGAGUUCGUCCAACAACUCCCUAGCACCACACAUCAAGGCGUCAUGACGAUCGCCGCCUAGAAUAGUAAUCAAAUCCAGGCUCAGAAUUCAUAUCGAUAGAAUACAUAACUUAUAUAAAAAUACGUCACUACGUAGAUUGAUCCGGAAGAUCCACCCCUCAGAUUUUAAAUCCAUAACUUCUAGAGGUCCACAUUAUACCUCUAGGACAACAUCCUAAAAUUUCAUUACCAUCCAACGGUCGGAUCUCCGUCAAUUUCCAAAACUAAGUGACGGUUAACAUUUUAUAUUAUGGACUUACAAUUCCAAUUCCGGAAGAUCCGUAACUCGGAUUCCCAAUCCGUAAGUUCCAAUAGUCCUUAAAUAUUACGUAUUACAACGUAUCAAAGUUUGGUGACGAUCCAACGGUCGGAUCAUCAAUUCACAUUUUCACCAAAACUAUAAAACGUUAUUCGAACACCUAACCAACAAUCCUCAAUAACUUUCUCAUACGGUGUUCAAUUUAGGUAUAUGAAUAUACCACAGUGAUCUACUCGACGUCACGGACGUCGACAUAUUUUUAAAAUAUUUUUAUUUUUAUUUUUUAUUUUACUGUAGCACCAUCUUCUUCCUUGGGUCGCCGGACUGGUUUUUCCGGCGGCCGUUUUCCGGGCAGUUUUUCAAAUUGCCAUAACUUUGUCAUUUCUCAACGAAAUCAAGUGAUUCAAAAACGAAAGUUGUAGCCCUUGAAGAGACAAAGAGAAUGGUACCUUUCCCAACACCUAGUUCGCCGUAGUUUGGCCGGAAACUGCCUCGAAAGCCUCGGAGGUCGCCGGAAACUGGGUAUUUUUCAAAUGAGUAUAACUUCUUCAAUACUCAACGAAAUUGAGUGAAACAAAAGGGAAAGUUGUAGUACUUGACGAGACGAAGAGAUUGAUACCUACCUUGACUCCUAACUCGCCGGGGAUUCGCCGGAAAAUGCCUCGAAAGCUCCGGCCAAACUUUGAACUCGUCGAUCUCCGUGUUCUUUCGUCCAAAAACUUCCAACGAAGCACUCCGAGCUUCCUUGGGACCUCACUAAGCUCGCUGUGAUCUUGUUUUAGCCUAAAACGUAGUUAUUAAAAGAUGAUGAACAGUGCUCUUCCACGGGGAGUUUAGAAUCUAGGUUUUCCGAAGUAAAACUUACCUGAAAUUGGUGUCUACGUGAUCGUGGAGUCUCCAGGAGUUCGAUGGUGGUCUUAACUCCGUCGUUGGUGGAAGUUUAAGGUUGUUUUGUGGUUGGUUUGUUCGAACGGAGAAGAAGAGUGACAGAGAGAGAGAGAUUCGUGAGGGAGGAGAGAGAGAGACAGUAUGCAGAAAAUAGGGAGAGGAUUGAGGGAUGUGGGGAUCCCUCGUGGUCCUUUUCCAAUCCCCAACUCCAAACCACAAAAUUUUAACCUAAAAAUCUAAGUUCCAUCCUUAAUAAAUUCCAUUUUAUUUUCAAAACUUAGGAACCUAGAUAAUUAACAAUUUGAGCUUCACAUACUUAGUAUUUCUUAAGGGCAAUUUCGUCCAUUCACAGCCACGAAUGUAAUAUUUUGGAACGGGCUGUGACAAUCUUCCCUCCUUAUAGAAUUUCGUCCCCGAAAUUCCAGCAACCAACCAAUUCAUCAACACUUAUACCAACCUCGGUAAGUUUCUUUCAUCCGAUUCUUUUUCUCCCACGUAAUUUUCUUCCACUGAAUGAUUCCUUCACAAAACUUUUACCAUUUACUCUAUCUUAACUCUCAGGACCUUCUUUUUCCAAUCCAAAUUCUACUUUUCUAAGGUGAACACUUCUAAAAUAUAAAACCAUUUGCCUUACACACUCGAUUAGUGGCAUAUCCAUCUGUUGAUCUCUUUUGCCAUUCACAAGUCAUCAAAAACCGACUCACGUGACACAUUUCAUGGUCCUUAUGGCGUUACUUCGGAAACUGCACAACCAACAUACUUAAGAAACUUAGCAGUUCCGUAAUCCAAUUCUCUUUUCCAUAAAACAAAUAAGUAAUGUUGCACUGUCUGGGAAAGGUUGUUACUCAACACUGGAGUAAAUGUACUAACUUGUUAUCUAACAAGUAGAGCUUCUUCUCGAUCUCCAGUUCUCAACUUUACUUUAGUUGGUUUCCAAUCCACAAGAAGAUAAUCAUGGCAAGCGUACCAAAUAUUAAUUCUUACUGCAGUCUUCUUAUCAAGUGCUUCAGCUACCACAAUUCACGAUCACCCUGAUCGUACAAUCAUAAUCACUAAGUAAUACAAUUCACUUUCGCUGCCUCAUAUCAAAAUCCUUCCAAGUAAUGGAUAUUGAAGACUUUUUGGAUUCGUAAAAAUCUUGCAUUCUUACCAAAUAUAAUGCCUUCAUAACUUCACAGCAAGAAUGGUAAUCAUGAUUUCUAAGUCACCCGUAGGGUAAUUCAUCUUAUGAGAUUCCAUUUAUCGUGAAACGUAUGCAAUCACCCUAACAUUUGCAUCAACAUGCAUCCAAUACCAUUCAAGAAACAUCACUAAAAAUUUAUGAUUACCACUAUUCUCUGGGAAUACCAAAAUACGUGCAUGAGUGAGGAAAUACUUCAGUUGUUGAAUCCUUUGCUCACAAUUUCCUUCCCACUCAUACAUAACCUCUUUUCUCAACAGUCUCGUCAAUGACAAAGCAAUGACUGAAAAAUCUUUCACAACCAUCCAAGAUAGCUUGGUAAGCUAAGAAAUUCUGAAUCUCAAUUACAGCUCGUGGUUGUUCCAAUUUCUCAAUUUCUGCUAUCUUUUAAGGAUUCACUUGAAUACCUUAAGAAUAUAUAACAAAUCUCAGAAUGCCACCUGAUUCGUCUAACUUUAGCAUUUGCUACUUAGCAUACAACCAACGUUCUCUCAAUCUUUGGUUCACCGACUUAAUACGUUUACAUGCUCUGCUCUGGCUCAGAAUAUGCCAGAAUAUCUUCAAUAAAAAUGAUAUCAAUCUAUCAAGGCAUUAUUGGAAUACUUCAUCCAUCAACUCAUAAAACAGCAUGAGUAUCCAUAUAGCAUCACCAAACUUCAUAAAGACUAUAACGAGUCCAGAAAACCAUCUUAUGAUCAACGUCACUUAUAAUAUUCAAUUGGUAGUAACCAGAUCUCAAUUCAAUCUUUGAAUCUUCGCAAUUACUUCUGAGCUGGUUAAAUAAACAUCAGUACAUCACCAUGGAUAACGGUUCUCAAUCGUUACCCGACUCCAUUGUCUAUAAUCAAUGAACAGUCUCAAGAUCCAUUUUCUUCCUCACCAACAAACUGGUGCUCCUCAACAGUGUUGUACUAGGUUGAAUAAAACUUUUAUCAACCAAUUCUCUCAACUGAAUUUCCAAUUCCCUUAACUCAUCAUGAACCAAUCUCCAAUAUAAAUUUAUACAUGGCAACAAAUCACUAGUGAACCUCAUAUCUCUGCCUGAAGGCAAUCUAGGUAUACUUUCAAGGAAGACAUCAAGAAAAGUCUAACCCCUUUUUGACAUUAUUCACACUACUCCAAACAACAUCAUUUAGCACCACACGAGCUAAUAUUUUGACAGCCUUUCGAAACAAUCUCUUUGCUCUCACAGCAUAAAUAACGGCCUGACUCAAUCCACUUUGCAUACUUACAAAAGUAAUCUCUGGUCAUCCAGAUCGAUGGAAAGUACUGGUUUCCCUUAACAUUCCGUCUUGUUACAAUUAUAACUAACCAAUCUAAUGGAAAUAAUUUAACCGACACAAUACAUACUCUAUUACUACUAAGCAUUCUGAAUAAGUACAAUACUAACAUAAAAUAAUCUACCGGUUUGCUUGCUUAACGAAUCCACGAAUGAGUUAUUAAUAUUACGGUCUGCAGCCCGCAAUACUGAUAAAUCAUCGUUGUCUCGAUAAGUAGGCAACCACUCUCAAAGAUAUAACAUUACUAUUUUGUCACUCAAUGCAAAAUACAUACACUCGUCUCAACUACAUUUAUUUACCACUCUCUAGGUAAUAUCAUACAUAAUAAGAAAUAUAUCAGCCGAAGUCAACUAGAAUGACCAAUACGGUUGAUUCAACUCUUAUCUCAAUAAUACGUCGGCCGGAUCCACUCCGCGUGGUCGGCACGGCCGAGCCUAUAACUCACCAAUUUCUCAUGUGUCAGUCAAAUCCAUCUCUCGUGGCCUGUAUGGCUGAACAUAUAACUCAUCAAAUAUCUCUGUACCCACAGUCAAUCCGACCAAACUACUAAGUCCAUAACUCUGCUGAAUCGACACUAUGAUAUCAUGGAAAAUUAUUGAGUACAACUGAUUCUAGGGACGAUUCACAAUUCUGUGUCCCCUCUGUUCACAUAAACACAUUCAUUAAUUUCACAUUUCCCAAAGUGUUAAUUUUGUACCUGCUGCACAAAGUACAUUUCCUUUACUCGAGACACCUUGUCUCAAAUAUCUGGGAUUACCAGUAUAUCCAUCACUUUUACUCUGACCAGCGACAUUAAAACCUCAGCUGGAAGAAUUAACUCUAGCUUCACUUCUUUCGAAGCUCUGAAUCUUUCUAUCUCCUUGAUAUGACGAAUCAUUAACUUUAUCGUCUUCUUUUAAUUCCCAUUCUUUUCUUAUUCUUCUUUAUUCUCGUUGCUCAUGUUCUCAGAGUCCUCAAGGCUCAACAACAUCUAGCAUACUCCUGAUAAGAACUACAAUGGAUAGUGGUCACCCAAAAUACCACUUCCCUUUUUGCCACCCAGCUUAAAACAACAUAACACCUCCACCAAAUUAACAACAAUAUCUGGAUGGAACGAGGCAAGUCUGAAAACUUUCUAUAAUAUCCCUCGAUCAUCACCUUCCUUGUCUCAUAUUUGUAAACUCUUGUUUACUACCAUCGAUAAAUGCCGGAGGGAUAAACUUUUCCUUAAACAAGUCCUUAAACAAUUUUAAAUCGGCUGUUCCUCCGAUGACAACAAUUAAUAAUCCUGUUUCCACCAGGAUACAAAUUCAUACCCAAAACCAGGUAAUCGUCUCGACCCCCUGUCAGAAGGAAGAUUCCUUUGACUUGCAUAAUCUGAAACAUCUUUACCAAAUGGUUAAACCGUUACUUCGCUCCCUCAGGUUCAUCAUUUCAUAAGGUGAUUCAAAUUCAACUCAUAACCCGUCUUAAAAUGUCCAUUUUGAUAAUAUACUGAAUCACCAUAAUAAUAGUUUCCCCCUAAACCGCUAAAUCAGGGAGACUAAGUUCCUCUAACUAUGUGGCUUGCUACGAGGCGGUGUAGUUCUGACAGAAUUCACUAGAACUUCUCAAAAUGUCCAAGAUUGCAACCAUGCUCUGAUACCAACUGACACACCCCGUCCCGAAGGAGGGCAUGCUGGCCGUCACGUGAGAGUGACGUAACCAUUUGCACAGUACGGAAGCUUUAAGAUACAAUUUAAAUUGAUACACCCGAAGGUGAGUCCUAAUUUUGUCCAAUCUGUCAGAACACCGUCGAAUUCCUCGUAGUCACCACACCUUUGUGAUUCCUGAACCUGGAGGGGCGCAAAACCAAAAUUGAGUGGGUCAGUAAAACAAUUCUUUUCCAAAUCCAAACAUUUCUCAAAACGUUGUAACCCCUCUCCGUAAAACCUGUAUACUUUCCCAGAAAUGUAAAAUAUAAUUAUACAUAUAUAUUCUCAAUACUUCAAUUCAUUACUCCACAUUUUUCAGUACAAAUAUGCCAUGCCAUAUCGGAAUUCAUCAGUUAAGUAUGAAUGCAUCAACAGUAAUUAUAUCAGGUGCAAGAAGUAAUCAACCGGAGGCCCUCUAAUAGCCCUGUACGGUUGAACCUAGAGCUCAAAAUCUAUCACUCUCACUCUGCCGGAGUCACCUCUGUGACCUGUACGGCCUUCUGCACACAAGUUACGCUCUAGUGCUUCUCUCAUCAAUCAUCUGUGCACAUAAUCUAAGGUCACCUACCAGUCGGAACCCCUCUAACGGUCUGUACGACUGGCAUGUCGGAACCACCCCCGGUGGUCUGUACGACUAGCAUCUACUUGGAUCCAAGGCGAGCGUGCGAUGCGGUGAAUACUAUAAGCACUAAACUAUGGUGCAGGAUUUGAGCUCAAUAUACAUCAUCAUCAUAACAGUAAUUAAAUAUUCAUCUGUGCGUCCACCGCACCAUUUCAUACAUAUGCACCAUAAAUCAAUUCUUACCUGUGCGUCCACCGCACCAAUUCAUACAUAUGCACCAUAAAUCAAUUCUUACAUGUGCGUCCACCGCACCAAUUCAUACAUAUGCAUCAUAAAUCAAUUCUUACCUGUGCGUCCACCGCACCAAUUCAUACAUAUGCAUCAUAAAUCAAUUCUUACAUGUGCGUCCACCGCACCAAUUCAUACAUAUGCAUCAUAAAUCAAUUCUUACCUGUGCGUCCACCGCACCAAUUCAUACAUAUGCAUCAUAUAUUAAUUCAUGCAUGGCAUUUCAACUCACAUUUCUAUAUACUUUUCAUAUCAAUUCUAUGCAUGGUAUUUCACUUCCCGUUUUUCCACAUAACUCAUAUGCAUUUCAUUUUAAACAUAUUUUCAUUUCAAUUCAAUUUCUGGGAAACGUCAAGUAUAUAUAUAUAUAUACGGAAAACAAAACUGCCCACUCACCUGGAGUUCGUCCAACAACUCCCUAGCACCACACAUCAAGGCGUCAUGACGAUCGCCGCCUAGAAUAGUAAUCAAAUCCAGGCUCAGAAUUCAUAUCGAUAGAAUACAUAACUUAUAUAAAAUACGUCACUACGUAGAUUGAUCCGGAAGAUCCACCCCUCAGAUUUUAAAUCCAUAACUUCUAGAGGUCCACAUUAUACCUCUAGGACAACAUCCUAAAAUUUCAUUACCAUCCAACGGUCGGAUCUCCGUCAAUUUCCAAAACUAAGUGACGGUUAACAUUUUAUAUUAUGGACUUACAAUUCCAAUUCCGGAAGAUCCGUAACUCGGAUUCCCAAUCCGUAAGUUCCAAUAGUCCUUAAAUAUUACGUAUUACAACGUAUCAAAGUUUGGUGACGAUCCAACGGUCGGAUCAUCAAUUCACAUUUUCACCAAAACUAUAAAACGUUAUUCGAACACCUAACCAACAAUCCUCAAUAACUUUCUCAUACGGUGUUCAAUUUAGGUAUAUGAAUAUACCACAGUGAUCUACUCGACGUCACGGACGUCGACAUAUUUUUAAAAUAUUUUUAUUUUUAUUUUUUAUUUUACUGUAGCACCAUCUUCUUCCUUGGGUCGCCGGACUGGUUUUUCCGGCGGCCGUUUUCCGGGCAGUUUUUCAAAUUGCCAUAACUUUGUCAUUUCUCAACGAAAUCAAGUGAUUCAAAAACGAAAGUUGUAGCCCUUGAAGAGACAAAGAGAAUGGUACCUUUCCCAACACCUAGUUCGCCGUAGUUUGGCCGGAAACUGCCUCGAAAGCCUCGGAGGUCGCCGGAAACUGGGUAUUUUUCAAAUGAGUAUAACUUCUUCAAUACUCAACGAAAUUGAGUGAAACAAAAAGGAAAGUUGUAGUACUUGACGAGACGAAGAGAUUGAUACCUACCUCGACUCCUAACUCGCCGGGGAUUCGCCGGAAAAUGCCUCGAAAGCUCCGGCCAAACUUUGAACUCGUCGAUCUCCGUGUUCUUUCGUCCAAAAACUUCCAACGAAGCACUCCGAGCUUCCUUGGGACCUCACUAAGCUCGCUGUGAUCUUGUUUUAGCCUAAAACGUAGUUAUUUAAAAGAUGAUGAACAGUGCUCUUCCACGGGGAGUUUAGAAUCUAGGUUUUCCGAAGUAAAACUUACCUGAAAUUGGUGUCUACGUGAUCGUGGAGUCUCCAGGAGUUCGAUGGUGGUCUUAACUCCGUCGUUGGUGGAAGUUUAAGGUUGUUUUGUGGUUGGUUUGUUCGAACGGAGAAGAAGAGUGACAGAGAGAGAGAGAUUCGUGAGGGAGGAGAGAGAGAGACAGUAUGCAGAAAAUAGGGAGAGGAUUGAGGGAUGUGGGGAUCCCUCGUGGUCAUUUUCCAAUCCCCAACUCCAAACCACAAAAUUUUAACCUAAAAAUCUAAGUUCCAUCCUUAAUAAAUUCCAUUUUAUUUUCAAAACUUAGGAACCUAGAUAAUUAACAAUUUGAGCUUCACAUACUUAGUAUUUCUUAAGGGCAAUUUCGUCCAUUCACAGCCACGAAUGUAAUAUUUUGGAACGGGCUGUGACAUUGGGUUUAUAAAGGAUGA